RNAcentral lists this ribosomal RNA (254 nucleotides) under uncultured bacterium. RNAcentral's name for it is "partial 16S ribosomal RNA". It matches the Rfam family "Bacterial small subunit ribosomal RNA", at positions 524 to 776 of the family's 1533-position model. The record is from RNAcentral.
UACGUAGGGUGCAAGCGUUGUCCGGAAUUAUUGGGCGUAAAGAGCUCGUAGGCGGUUUGUCGCGUCUGCUGUGAAAUCCUCAGGCUCAACCUGGGGCUUGCAGUGGGUACGGGCAGACUAGAGUGCGGUAGGGGUGACUGGAAUUCCUGGUGUAGCGGUGGAAUGCGCAGAUAUCAGGAGGAACACCGAUGGCGAAGGCAGGUCACUGGGCCGCAACUGACGCUGGAGGAGCGAAAGCAUGGGGAGCGAACAGG